CAGCCAUUUCCACUGCUGCCUGUUUGGCCUGCUCACACCAGCGCUCUGAGGGGGAAGCUGCUACUUGCUUUACCCCAUAGGUUUUUUCCCUUUUUUCCUUCCCCCACCCCCCAAAUAUCCCAGGUUCGAGCUUCCCCUGCUUCAACUGCCCCAGAAUCCUUGGAGUUCUCAAGACUUUGCCCAGAGAAGCUGUUUUGUGAGUAGCAGCAGACACACUUAUACAUUAAUGAAGCCAGCACUUUAUCAGUUCACAUGUGGAAAGUUCUCUUUCCAACCAGGGUGUUUGGGAGGCAGGGUGUCUUUUUUCAAUAAAAGAUGAAAUUCUGCAGAAGUUGAAGUCCAUCACCCGGAAAAGUUUCCUACUUGCCAUAGGUGCAGGAUUGCGAGCCCCUUAUUCCUGUUCAUCAACCAUUAUUGAGAGGGACUGUUCCACUGGAGUCAAUGGGACUAAUCUGUGCCAGGAAGAACCUACCAGUGUGCUUCUGCCACAUCUUUGUGUACAUUGGUAAAUGGAAGCGACCAAUUGCAUGGUUGAAAAAAACCCAGAAUUUGGUAGUUGCACAGAGCUCCAGCAGAGACAUACCAGCCUAACAAAUAAAGAGUUUGCAAUGUUCAGCUGCUAAGCUACAACCAUCCUUAAGAUUUGAAGACUGGUAAACAAAACAUUGUUUGGAAAAGGCCCGUCGGGCCUCCAGCUUGGCAAAGCUAAUAAAGCAUAUGCACAACUUUAAUCAGAGAGCUCCUCUCUUUUUUUAUUUCCCCCACUUCUUCCCCCCACUCCCUUUACUUUGCUUUGGUGGGAUGAUGCAUCCAGUUGGAGCCGCUAAACAGAAGGAACCAAGGAGGAGAAGUGCAUCUCCAUUUCUAUAAGCCGUCUGCCGCUUCGAUACAUGCUGCAAACCUUGGCUUUAAGCUGAAGUGCAAAACCUCUGGGGCUUUCGCUCCCCGCUGUUAGCAUUUGA
Molecule: long non-coding RNA, 962 nt
Organism: Dermochelys coriacea (leatherback sea turtle)
Lineage: Eukaryota; Metazoa; Chordata; Testudines; Dermochelyidae
Exons: 4
Source: RefSeq, a predicted model, not a curated record